This is a long non-coding RNA of Hyaena hyaena (striped hyena), 439 nucleotides long. RefSeq lists it as uncharacterized. NCBI's taxonomy places the organism in Eukaryota, Metazoa, Chordata, Mammalia, Carnivora, Hyaenidae. The record is from RefSeq and is a predicted model, not a curated record. The transcript has 4 exons.
CCUGUUCACCUUUUCCACCUUGGACACCCUGAAAGCGACAGUAAAGAGAGCAUGAAUAGAGAGUCUUUGAAUUCUGUUAGCCAAGGCAUGAUCCAUCAUCUUGCAAGUCCAAGUACACCAAGGUGUGGAGGCAUAGACUCAGGAUAGAUGGAUUUCCAUCAGGUGUGCAGUGACAUAUUGGAGAUCAGUUAUUAACGUGUGCUUGGUCAAAUCCAAACCUCCUGGGGGAAUCUGGUGACCGCUUCAGUGCAAUGGAGUGUCCAGCGCCCAGCAAACUUGCUCCGUUUCCCCAGGCUCCUUGAUUUGUCGGAUGUCUUCAGUGAGGGGUGCAGGUGUUCAGACAUCCCUGGCCAUUUAGACUGAUUCCAGUUUUACCAACCGUCUUGUAUGCGAGAUGCCCCUGGUGUCUGGACUGAAUACACGGGGGUAAUAAAUCUUA